UAGGUGUACCUUUAACGCUAACCACUUGAUAUUAUGGGGGGGAUCAACUUAGCGCGGCAUUGACUCCAAUUGUUUAAACAAAUGCAGCCGUGUAGCGCUGCGUUACUUUGCAUCAUGUUAUACGUUAUAAAAGAUCGCGGUUUCUUUGCCGAGUAGAUUUACGGCACGAAAAUUAGUGAAAGUUUUUUAUCAGUUUUAAUGAACGCAUUUUCAAGUGCAUUGAGGCCUGCUUUGCUUGCGGCUUUAGCUACAUUUUUGCGACUUUAGUGGUCAUCGAUCUGAGAUCGGAAAUGGAUCUAGAUAUUGCUACUGCAGAACUAGAGUCGUUUUCCGCCACCCCAAUAAAAUCCGUAGAUUUUAACAUUUCGGAUUUGUCCAUUUUCGAAAUAAGUGAAAACACUGGAGUAAGACCGCUUUCCGAUCCGGUAUACGAACAAUUCCUAGCUGAUGUUUGGGUGGGCAUAGUGCUGACACUAAUGGUACUCAGUUGUGUGUGUUUUAUGUGUUCGUGUUUGAUUUACCACAAAUUUCAGGAAUGGAAAAAUGGAGUUAUCGAGGCCCGAAAUGCCGCCAAUUUGGAAGCUGGGGUGCCAGAAUCUGACCUGCCUAGUUACACUAUUGCAUCAGGUUUGCCCACUUACGACGAGGCUUUGGAACAAUUGAAGAAGGUUAAACAGAAUCAAUGUAGUGACACAUUCUUCACUAAUGAAUCAUUUAACAGUGGAGGAGACAGUGCAAUUAAGUCGCAUGCAUCUAGGAGCCCUACAAGUCGUGAUUUAGGCAAUACUUUGUCUUUGACUCAUUUACUUGAAAUUUAUAACAAGAACGCGGGGAGCCAUUCGUCAAAGACGUAGCUAUGUUAUCGCAAAAUAUGUUUUGCUGUUUUGACUGAAAUGUGAGGCUUCCUACGAGACCAUUGUAGGUUUAGAAUUAUGUUAAGCAUUAUUUCUUAAAACAGUAGGUUCUCGUUAACAUGAAGACACCUUUUGACUCGGAAAAUUUUGUAUUGGUUCAAUAGUACCCUGCCACAUAUCUUUAAAAUUUAACACUAUAAAAACUAAGCACUAGACAUAUUCAAUUAACGAUGCCACAGUAUUAUUUUUACGUAUUUUUAUAAUGCACAGUACGAUACAAAUUUAUCGAUUUAAACACUUCAGUGAAAUGCCACUUCAGGGUUUUCGAAACACAUUUAGGAAAACUUUUGACAAUAUAUGCAGGCAAACUUUUCUUGUGUUUUUCGACUUGUUGCAUAUCAAGAAUGAGUUUUGCGGACUGAGUUAUUUUUACUGUUUAUAUUAACUGCCCCGAAAUUACUCUUGUAUAGUAGCAACAUCACGCCCGGUUGGAAAAAAUCGAUAAAAAUGUUUUUAUUUUGCGGUUCUAGUUGCACCAUAUUUUAGAAAAGUGUGGACACUAUUUUUUAUAAAUUUAUGCGUAUUUUGCCCUCAACGCUACCCAUUUCCAAUCGUUUUAUAUGCUAUAGGUAGCCGAAGUCAAUAAAAAGGCGGCUUAUCUAUAUGAGGGCGAUAGUUGAUAUUUGCAAUUCGAAACGUUAAUUCAACAUUGAAUUAGCCUUCAGAGGAUUUUAUAUUUUAUAUCCUUGCAGCUUGCAAAUUCGACCGACGUUUCAGAGAAGAAAGAAAAACUACUAGGAAAGUGGAAUUUUCAAUACAUAGAAGAUGACCGCAUCGUUUGUUAAUGCUUUAGUUUCUCAUUCUGAGGUGCAAUAAAAUAAGGAAUCCCAGUUCUGUAAGCUUCUAAUUCGCCUAUCUGGAGAGAGCGCACUUUUAGGUUUAUGGUUAUAGGAAACAACAACAUUUAUUUUGACAUACAUAUAAAAUAUGCCCAUAAAAUGCUCACGGUACAUUUUGAUUUCUUUGUAUUGAUAUGGUUCAUUAGUCUUAUUAUUAUUACUUAUUUAUGAAUCAAUCAAAGCAUGUAAGAACUCGUAGCAAUUAAUGCUACUUCAAAGCAUAUGCAAUAUACAUACAUAUAUGAAAAAUACCCUGAGUACUUCUCAAAAGUAACGCCUUAACAAUUGUAUGCUUUGCACAUUUGUUUUAGUGCAGUACGGGAACUCUGUUUUGAAAUGGCAACGUUAUGUUUUGUGAAAAAAUCCAGAAGAAAACUAUUUAAUUUUAAAUUAUUAAAUUUGAACUUAAUGUAAGGAACAGUUUGUAUGUUAAACAGAGUUUUCCAUCACAAACAUUCACGAUCAAAAUGAAAAUAAAAUACAGAUUGAAAAUUAUUUUCAAUAAAAACCGAUUAAAAAAAUAAGCGACCAAACUUUCUCUUUUUGAAAAAUCUCCUGUUGACAACAUCAUACGAAAAACACGAAUUUUACAUCAGAAUUUCAAUCCACUGAACAGUUUUAAAAACAAUGUGCAAUUUUGACUCAAAAAAUGUCUUUGGUUGCGUUCUCCCCAGAAAAAUACACUUUAUCAAUCAAAAAGUGGCGCAUUACUGCAGGAAAAUGAAAAGAGGCACAUUUUUUAUUUUUGUUUGAGUAAUACAAAAUUUUCACAACUGGAACAUCAAAUAAUUAGCAAAACUCUGUUCAAAUGUGCCAGUCAUUUUCCGAUUCACUCAAGUGGUUCAAACUGAACCGAGUGUUGCCAGAACCAUUGCUUCAUCCUCGUUGGAGAAAUUAAAUAAAUAAAUAGCAGACAGCGACGAUAAGAACAAAUUUUGCUAGCUGCGCGCUUCAAAUUCAUUGAUGCGAAUUCUGAUUAGAAAAUCAGCUUUUUGUGACAAAACCUGAACAAUAAAAGCAAAAUAAGCCCAGUCCCAUAAAGCCAAUUAUGACAUCAGAAUUGCAAUCCUCAAUUGCUUUCGCCAAUUGAAUCGCACGAUAAAAUCUAUAAAAUUAAAAUCAGUUAUUGAAAGUAAUUGAAUUUAUCAACUGAUAAACGUGUAAACGUUGUUUCAACCUUAUAUUGAAUAGAUUUACUUAUUUUGAUUUUGUUACAAGGGUCACAAAUGUUCAUUUCAUCGAUGUCAAACAAGUACACUUUUCCUACUAUAAAUUUAAUGCCAUAAAAAACCAAUUUUUUACGUUUGCCAUGCAAGAUGUUACAACCUUUCGGUCGAUUUCUCGCGAAUUAGCAUAGCAAUAUUCGUGUCAAAGACACUGUUUUAAGGAGCCUUAAUAGUUCAUUUAGGCAUAGAUGUAAGUCACCUUGUAUAACAAACUAUCCCUAUACAAAGAAUUUCGUAAUUAUGUGAAUUAGGAAGGGAAUUUUAAAGACAUUCUCUGAAGGUUUUUUUCUUAGGCAUUUUUAAAGACAUUAAUGAAUGAAGCAAAUGGUGUAAAAAUAUAGUUAUUUCUCAUAAAUGAAUCGUUUAUUGUUAAAACAUAGAAAGGCAAAAAUGCCGUCCGCAUAUUAGACGGUUGCUAUGUGCAAUCAGCUUACUUAUUUUAUGUGAACUAGUAGGCAUUCACAAGGAAAUUCAUUAGGAAGCGUAUUCAUAAGGAAAUUAAAAUUGAUGAUAAUAUUUAUCGUUUUUAAAUUCAAUGUAAUGUCAAGGAGUCUCCUUGUUGGAAGUUAAAGUGGAAAAAAAGAUGGCGUAAGAAGAAAAACGGUGUUGAUUUCUUUUAUUAAAAGGCAUUACCUGGACAACACAAGACCACAAUAAUCUAAAAUGCUGAAUUGUACGUUGAAGCAUUUUGAAGAAGAAAAUAGAAACACUUCUAUAUGAAUUUUUCAAAUUUUAUUUAAAAUAUCUUCUUUAAAACUUAAAAUAUCUGCACAUAUUUUUAAUUCACGCUGUAUAUAAGCCGAUUGAAGAAAUAAGGUUGUGUUUGGCAAAAUGUAUAGUUAUUAAUGUAGACAUUCAUAUUUUUACUAUCCAAAACUAUUCGAGAGAUUUUGAACUAAGAGGUUUUGAAUUACUAAUUAAUCUUAACAAUACAGUCAUAUUAGUGAGCACACUUAUGAAGGAAUAUGGACAUGAGGUCCUUAAUUAAUACAAAUUAUAUUGACAGUAAAAGUAUUAACUCUGAUACAAGUACAUAAAAUGCGUUUACAAACAAAUUUCUGGUGACUGCUAUUCACUUUUAAGGCAAAUACGAUCAGGUGAUGUCGGUUUUUCACAUUUGCAACUAGAACUUUAAUUUUUAUUGAAUAUUUUUAUAAUGUCUUAGAAGCUUACUAUAACUCAUUGUGUCUAAAUGCUUAAAACCACAAAAGUUUAUUUCUAUUGUGCUGCAAAUUCUCUUCAUAGGUUGAUGUUAAAGAUACCAAUAGUUAAUAGCUUAAUGCUAAUUGAAAAGUUCGCCUUUUAAAUAAUACCCCAACUGCAUUUGGUGGAAACUAAAUUUUAAUAACAAUUGUGUUAAUUGACCUUAAAAACUUGUUUCAAGUGCAUGACGGUUUGGUUCUACCGGGUUUCUGGAUGGAUUUUAAUCAGAUACAAAAUACCGGUAUUUCAGCUACGAAAAGUAAUGUUUAAUAAUUGUUUUAUUAUAGAGAAAGCGAUUAGCUUAGUUAAAAAGAAAACGCCAUCUAGAUAUGUAGCAUUGAAAACCAAAUUUUGAAUGGAAAAAUUGUUUCUCAGUAAUUAAUGAAAUGUAUAAAUAUGAAUUUAUCAAUUGCGUAUUAAAGAACGACGUGGACGAGGUAGAAAAUUUCGAUCACAACAACGCAUAACCUGCGUUAAUAAGCCGAAUAAUAUUGGGUGUUAAUUGCUUAGGUUGCUUAGUUAAAAUGCCGUAAAAAAUGUCAGUCAUGUUAUACGAGCAACUGCUACGCAGAGUAUUUCAAUUUAGUAUCAUUAGGAAAUUACCAUAAUCGAUUGAACUAUAAGUUUUACUGCGUGACAUUGGGAGACACAUUUAAAACUGAUCAAUGAAAAUACUUAAUGUUGGCAAGAGGUACAGUAAUUUCAAAGUUUUUCUAGUGCUAAAUGAACAUGUUUGCAACAAUUCAUUGAUGUUGGAUCAUUUUUGAAGGAGUCUAAUUUUAACAUACAUUUCUGUUACUAGUUGUAGGUUAUUUAAAGGGCUGUGUUAGUUUAAGACGCUAAAAGUAAGAAAUUAAUCGUUGGGAUAUAUUAUUUUUAAGUAAAAGAUUGAAAUGGUAGUGUUGACUGAAAUUUUGAAAAACUGUGAAAAGAGGAAGAUGGUGGGAACAUGGCAUUGAGACCUUCAGAACCACAAACCGAUUAGAUAAUCACCAAGCUUUUGGAAAUUUAAUUUUCUCCUUCUGGUAGGUUAUUCAAAAAUAUUAAAUAAAAAAUAAUCCUUAUGUUUUGCGGUUGAGCUUCGAGAUCGUCUUUCACAUUAUCAAACUUACCUAAUUAUAUGGACGUGGUUAUAUCAGUCCGAUCUCGAUAUGUAGUCGUGAUAAUUGCUGUUGUAAUAAGUUCAUAAUGAAACAAAAUAAUGGUCAGACACAGAUUGUCACAAUAAAAUGAAAUAAAGAGAUUAGUGAUGUUCAAAUGUUUUUUCAACUUUUAGAACAAUUUGAUGCUUAUUGCCUGAUAAGAUUUUAUUCUGAGUAAAACAUUAAUGGUAUUUUUUGUUUUUAUUCGGUUUUAAUUCACUUGUGUUGGCCACAACAGACUCAUUCCAAUAUCUUCCACACUAAGUCUUUUAAUAUGUAAUUAGACACUCAUGUUUGCAUAUGUAGAAAUUUAUUUUUAUGUAGAUAUAAACUAAAAAUGAAAUUGUUUCCAAUAUUUUAUAUUACUACGUUUCGACCUGCUAUGCAAUAUCAUCCGAAAGUUAUUUAUUUCGGUUAACGAUAAUAUUAAUUCAACCAUUAGUAGAUAGGAAGGUUCAAAUAAUUGGCAGUGUUUUUUUCAAAGUAACUAUCAACAAUUUUAUGUUUAUGAAUAAUUGGUAAGAUUAAACUGCAGGUUCAACUACUUAUCUAAGAAUACAUGUUCUAUUUAAUUAAAAUACUUAGUUAGCAAUGACGCAUAUAAUUGGUUACCAUUUUUUAGUCAUAAGUUUAUUCAAUUGUGAUAUUUCAACAUAAUAAAAUUAAAAAUUAA
Molecule: RNA transcript, 5997 nt
Organism: Dendroctonus ponderosae (mountain pine beetle)
Lineage: Eukaryota; Metazoa; Arthropoda; Insecta; Coleoptera; Curculionidae
Exons: 2
Source: RefSeq, a predicted model, not a curated record